GAUGAACGCUAGCUACAGGCUUAACACAUGCAAGUCGAGGGGAAACGGCAUUUAGUGCUUGCACCGAAUGGACGUCGACCGGCGCACGGGUGAGUAACGCGUAUCCAACCUACCCAUUACUGUGGGAUAACCUGCCGAAAGGCAGACUAAUACCGCAUAGUCUUCGAUGACGGCAUCAGAUUUGAAGUAAAGAUUUAUCGGUAAUGGAUGGGGAUGCGUCUGAUUAGCUUGUUGGCGGGGUAACGGCCCACCAAGGCAACGAUCAGUAGGGGUUCUGAGAGGAAGGUCCCCCACAUUGGAACUGAGAUACGGUCCAAACUCCUACGGGAGGCAGCAGUGAGGAAUAUUGGCCAAUGGGCGCGAGCCUGAACCAGCCAAGUAGCGUGCAGGAUGACGGCCCUAUGGGUUGUAAACUGCUUUUGUAUGGGGAUAAAGUCAAUCACGUGUGAUUGUUUGCAGGUACCAUACGAAUAAGGACCGGCUAAUUCCGUGCCAGCAGCCGCGGUAAUACGGAAGGUCCGGGCGUUAUCCGGAUUUAUUGGGUUUAAAGGGAGCGUAGGCCGGAGAUUAAGUGUGUUGUGAAAUGUAGACGCUCAACGUCUGACUUGCAGCGCAUACUGGUUUCCUUGAGUACGCACAACGUUGGCGGAAUUCGUCGUGUAGCGGUGAAAUGCUUAGAUAUGACGAAGAACUCCGAUUGCGAAGGCAGCUGACGGGAGCGCAACUGACGCUUAAGCCCGAAGGUGCGGGUAUCGAACAGG
Molecule: ribosomal RNA, 761 nt
Filed under: Prevotella melaninogenica
Lineage: Bacteria; Pseudomonadati; Bacteroidota; Bacteroidia; Bacteroidales; Prevotellaceae
Description: bacterial SSU rRNA
Rfam family: Bacterial small subunit ribosomal RNA
Source: RNAcentral